CACGUAGUUAGCCGGGGCUUCUUAGUCAGGUACCGUCAUUAUCUUUCCUGCUGAUAGAGCUUUACAUACCGAGAUACUUCUUCACUCACGCGGCGUCGCUGCAUCAGGGUUUCCCCCAUUGUGCAAUAUUCCCCACUGCUGCCUCCCGUAGGAGUCUGGGUCCGUGUCUCAGUCCCAAUGUGGCCGUUCACCCUCUCAGGCCGGCUACUGAUCGUCGCUUUGGUGGGCCCGUUACCCCGCCAACUGGCUAAUCAGACGCGGAUCCAUCGUAUACCACCGGAGUUUUUCACACCGCUCCAUGCGGAGCUGUGCGCUCAUGCGGUAUUAGCACCUAUUUCUAAGUGUUAUCCCCCGGUAUACGGCAGGUUAUCCACGCGUUACUCACCCGUCCGCCACUAACCUGUAUAUCACUAGGUUUCAAUACAGAUCCGUUCGACUUGCAUGUGUUAGGCACGCCGCCAGCGUUCAUCCUGACGCCAGAUACAAACUCU
RNAcentral lists this ribosomal RNA (491 nucleotides) under uncultured Lachnospiraceae bacterium. RNAcentral's name for it is "partial 16S ribosomal RNA". Lineage: Bacteria; Bacillati; Bacillota; Clostridia; Lachnospirales; Lachnospiraceae. The record is from RNAcentral.